UCCUAUAUGGUGUAGUGGCUAACAUUACCGCCUUUCAUCAAAUGGAGCACGCGGUAGCCCAGGGUUCGAUUCCCUGUAUAGGAG
Molecule: non-coding RNA, 84 nt
Organism: Flagelloscypha sp. PMI_526
Lineage: Eukaryota; Fungi; Basidiomycota; Agaricomycetes; Agaricales; Niaceae
Source: the annotation of a GenBank genome assembly